UUUCACCACUCGUUAAACACUUUCUAGACGCGUUCUGUACACGAAAUAUUCACGGUUCCUCGUUUCGAUACCAUUUCAUUUCAAAAGAAUUGCACGUACAUUUGCAUGUUCAUGCAAAUUAAAAUUUCGACGAAAGCAGAGGAAACUCGAAUAGAGAUCUGACCUUCUUCAGGCCCUCCGUGAAUUCAAUACGUAUUAAUAAAUUGAAACAAAAUAAUCGACGAUUUCUCGUUACGAAUAUCUUAAACGAAAGAACAAAUUGAAUUUGCACGGGCCGGCAUCAUUGUCAAAACUGUAACAUGGAACACGCAUAGCUGGUCCCUCGCAUUUCAUUCGAUGAAAUGAUCGUGUUGCUGAAUCUGAUCUCGCUCGUUGUCCACGCAUAAUCAUUUGCAAAUAGUUUCAGCCCCGCAAACUUAUCAGCUGUCAGUCGAUUUGACUUUGUAACGCGGUUGGACAGAUGCGCGUCGCUUUUAACGCGACGUGUCCAUUUUAUUUGGACAAGUUCAUCCUGCCUUUUAUGUUACAGUUCGUUUUUCUUUUAUGGUCUUUUAUCUAAAAAAAAAUCAGAGCCAUUAAUGAUAUGAAUGAAUUCAUAGACGCAUGAAAAUACGAGAAACGAAAAAUUCUAUACGAGUUUUUGCAAAUAUCCAAAGAAACUGAAGAGGGGUGAAUUGGACGAAACUCAAUAGCAAGUAUCAAAACACUCUGAUUCAAUAUAUAUAUAUAUAUGCGUAUUUGUCAAGUUAAUAAAUACGUCGUUUGCGAUUUUUUUACGAUUUCCGUAUCAACUUGGAUCGUAAAAUAGAAGCAAGAAAUUGCCAUUUUCCAACCGGCAAAUAUCGAAACUGGCGACAGCUGUUAAUGAUCCUCCACCGUCAAUGACCCGCCGUUCGUUUCGUUCUGUUCGAACGAAACGGCCGCCAUUGUAACGCCGCCCGUUUAUAUUCGCCUUGGAUUUUAACGAACCGCCCCGGUGUUCACUUAGUAGACUGUUACCGUCGUAAAAUAACGCGGGAUAUGAACGUAACGCGUGAAAUACGCUGUGAAUCACGCUUUAUAAACAUCGUUUCGCGCACGUGGUUUCAAUGAAAUUACAUCCGCGUGUCGAAAAGCGUACCGUGUAUCUGGGUAAUGGUGAAAAGUGUGUUCCGCGUGAGGUGUUACGCGCUAAUUUUAAUGAUUGAUGAUAGCCAUCGCAAACAAACUUUCAUCGUUCGAAUCUUUCUCUGACGGGCGAUCCCUUAAAAGACGUCGAACGAAAAGAAAGGAAAAACUUAUUGCUGUUGACACGCUUAAUAUGAAUUAAAUUUAACUUACCACGAUAGAUCGUUACGAUGAUUCAACAGUGUGAUAAUGACUCUUGGUUUAUCGACGAGAGCACCACACUGUGCUAAUACGAUUAUUCACCUCGAUAUAAUUUUCGGUUAAACGUAAAAGCUUCAAUUUUAUUCGAUAAACUUUAAAUCCAGUUAUCAUUGAAAUCGAAUUAAAAUAAAAUUGUAAAACCGAAAUUCACGAAAUUUUCGUAUUUAUAGAUUAUUUGCGUACACGCGCAAAUAAUUAAGAUUCAACAGCGAUAUAUUAAAGAUUCGUUCGCGGGGAACGAUGCAAAUAUUGAAACAGUUUUCAGAAUAGGAUGUGACAACGGUAUUUGGGACACGUUUGAAUAAUGUAGUUUUCCCGACACUGGCCGGAUAACGUUUCGCCGUAAAUUAUGUCCUUUUAUCGAUAACGCGGAUGAAAUCGAACGGAAUAAAAGUUGGAAAGUUAAAUAAAAGAAGAGGAGAAAGAAUAUUGGGAAUCAUCUUUUCAAACGUGUUGUGUAUCGUGUGUACGUCGUAUUUCAGUCUCCCCCCUUCCUCCCUCCCCGCUGGAACAAACAAACGGCGCUAUAGAAAUACGGCAACCUAUGGCGCAAGAGUCUGGCGAAAAAAUAACCAUCUCUCCGUGCCAUCCCAGAUGGGGGAAGACACCGCGGAAUAGAGACCUCAUUGACGAAACUAUGCGGAAACCAUUCGGCUCCGUUUGUUUUUCUUGCGGGUUGUCAAAGGCCCUUUGAAAUGUGGGACGAAGUACGUUGUAAAUCUUCUGUUUUACAAAGGAUUCGAUCGUUGUAUUUUGUAUUUCGUCUGUCUUGUCCGAGGCGAUUCGAGAAUUAAUUAACAAAUAUCGAAUUUCGUUUCCAAAUAUUCCAAAGUUAUAUAAAAAAAUAACAUUAUUACACAAUUCGCUUGUAUUUGCAUAAUUUUACAGACUAACGAGAUUGACCACGGUAUUGAAAGCAUGGUCCAAAAAGAAAAAUCUGUCGGACUCCUCGAUCAACGGGUUAACAAUGGGUUACACCGUGAAAGUCGUUUUCACCCCCGCGAAUGAUCGGCUCUCGCCCCUCCAGCGUUGGGACGAGCAUCGGUGAGUGAUUACGAACUGCAGCAGCUUCGUAGCCAGCAGUUUCUAUCAUUUUGGGCAACGCGAUGAGAGAUGGAUUUAAAGAGCGAUCCUUUUGCUGCGCUUUAAAUGCGGAUUUUGAAGAUACGUAAGGAAGUAUAUAGUUUAUAAAAGUAUAUGUAUUAAUAUUUGUAAUUUAUUACCAGUUAAUAAAAAUAAAGUGUUUUCGUCAAAA
This is a long non-coding RNA of Apis cerana (Asiatic honeybee), 2623 nucleotides long. RefSeq lists it as uncharacterized. The record is from RefSeq and is a predicted model, not a curated record. Lineage: Eukaryota; Metazoa; Arthropoda; Insecta; Hymenoptera; Apidae.